RNAcentral lists this long non-coding RNA (927 nucleotides) under Homo sapiens (human). Its description in RNAcentral is "HSALNT0355265". Lineage: Eukaryota; Metazoa; Chordata; Mammalia; Primates; Hominidae. The record is from RNAcentral.
UUUUUUUUUCUCAUUUAACUUUUUUAAUGGGUCUCAAACUUCUGUGACAAAUUUUUGGUCAAGUUGUUUCCAUUAAAAAGUACUGAUUUUAAAAACUAAUAACUUAAAACUGCCACACGCAAAAAAGAAAACCAAAGUGGGAUAAUAUUCAUUUAGCCUUCUGAGCUUUCUGGGCAGACUUGGUGACCUUGCCAGCUCCAGCAGCCUUCUUGUCCACUGCUUUGAUGACACCCACCGCAACUGUCUGUCUCAUAUCACGAACAGCAAAGCGACCCAAAGGUGGAAAGCUUCAUGGUGCAUUUCGACAGAUUUUACUUCCGUUGUAACGUUGACUGGAGCAAAGGUGACCACCAUACCGGGCAUGUUAGCACUUGGCUCCAGCAUGUUGUCACCAUUCCAACCAGAAAUUGGCACAAAUGCUACUGUGUCGGGGUUGUAGCCAAUUUUCUUAAUGUAAGUGCUGACUUCCUUAACAAUUUCCUCAUAUCUCUUCUGGCUGUAGGUUGUUUCACACCCAGUGUGUAAGCCAGAAGGGCAUGCUCUCGGGUCUGCCCAUUCUUGGAGAUACCAGCUUCAAAUUCACCAACACCAGCAGCAACAAUCAGGACAGCACAGUCAGCCUGAGAUGUCCCUGUAAUCACAUAGUACUUGCUGGUCUCAAAUUUCCACAAGGAGAUAUCAAUGGUGAUACCACGUUCACGCUCAGCUUUCAGUUUAUCCAAGACCCAGCCUCCUUCUCAAAUUUUUCAAUGGUUCUUUUGUCGAUGCCACCGCAUUUAUAGAUCAGAUGGCCAGUAGUGGUGGACUUGCCCGAAUCUACGUGUCCAAUGACGACAAUGUUGAUAUGAGUCUUUUCCUUUCCCAUUUUGGCUUUUAGGGGUAGUUUUCACGACACCUGUGUUCAAGCGAUUCUCCUGCCUCAGCCUC